Molecule: ribosomal RNA, 1605 nt
Filed under: Triticum aestivum (bread wheat)
Lineage: Eukaryota; Viridiplantae; Streptophyta; Magnoliopsida; Poales; Poaceae
Description: partial small subunit ribosomal RNA
Source: RNAcentral
GGUACCAGAAGAAGACUGACGCUCGAGCACGACGGCAACCUCAGAAUGCACAGCCUGGACGCGUCGAGUGGAAGAUGGGUGGUCACAUGGCAAGCCAUACUGCAGAUGCACUAUGUGCAUGGCCUAUGUGGGAAGAAGGGGUUCUUCGAGUACUCGCCGAGACUCCGCUGCUCGUGUCCUCCUGGAUUCGAGAUGGUUAAUCCAAACGUGUGGAGCAAAGGCUGCAGGCCGACGUUCAGCUACAACUGUGGUCAAGACAGGUACAGCUUCAUCCAGAUCCCUCAAACCGAUUUCUACGACUUUGAUCUUGGCGUCAACGACUCCAUCUCGUUUGAAGAGUGUAGAAACAUCUGCUUGGGCAUGUGCUCUUGCAUCGCUUUCUCUUACCGGCUGACCGGAACCGGCGUUUGUUACCCUAAAGGCCUGCUGUUCAAUGGCUACAAGUCGCCUGCAUUCCCAGGAAGUGUCUAUCUUGAAGUGCCCCUCACUGCUGACAUUCAGAUUCAGGUCUCUGAAUCACCACAAUCAGCUCUCACAUGCUCCCAUGUUGGUCCCAAGACUAGGCAUGAACCUUCAGAUCACAUGGACAGAUGGCUAUAUUUCUAUUUAUGUCCUGGAUUGUUAGGAGCCCUGGAGCUCAUUCUCAUCUUGACGACAUGGUGGUUCCUUUCCAGGAAGAAUGGCAAUGUGCAAGAUUCAACACAGGGAGGUUAUGCGGUGUUAAGAAAUCAGUUCAGGAGAUUUACUUACCAAGAGCUACAGCAAGCAACUGGAAGGUUCAGAGAAGAAGUUGGAAGAGGUGGCUCUGGGAUUGUGUACAGAGGAUUGCUAAAAGAUAAGAGGGUCAUCGCGGUGAAGAAUCUCAUGGAUGUCACCAAACACGAAGAGGAAUUCUGGGCAGACACGAAUGUGAUCGGGAGGAUCAAUCACAUGAACCUGGUUCGCACAUGGGGAUUCUGCUCACAAGGCAAACACAGGCUGCUGGUAUAUGAAUUUGUGGAGAAUGAGUCACUGGACAGGCACCUGUUCAGCGCGGAAAGAUUGCUCACGUGGAGCGAGCGUUUCCAUAUCGCCUUGGGAUCGGCGAGGGCCCUGGCUUAUCUCCACCACGAGUGCCUUGAGUGGGUUCUACACUGUGACGUGAAGCCUGAGAACAUACUCUUGACCCGAGAUUUUGAAGCCAAGAUAGCAGACUUUGGGUUAGCAAAGCUGUAUAAAAGAGAUGGAUCCAGUUUCAACUUCUCACAUAUGCGAGGAACAGCCGGUUAUAUGGCCCCGGAAUGGGCGAUGAAUCUGCCAAUCAAUGCCAAGGUCGACGUCUAUAGCUUCGGAGUGGUGCUCCUAGAACUGGUGGCUGGGAGGAGGAUUUCCAGCUGCACAAAGGAUGACAAAGUUAUCAAACUGAAACAAUUUGUCCGGGGUGUGAAGGAAGCUUUAGUUACCGGGGAUGCUGCGAGUAUAGUGGAUGCGAAGCUUCAUAGGCAGUUCCACACCGAUCAGGCGAUAAUUAUGAUGACGGCUGCUGUAUCGUGCCUCGCAGAAGAAAGAAGCAAGAGACCAACCAUGAAUGAAGUUGUAAAAUCUCUCUUGCAUUGCGAGGGAUGA